This 1607-nucleotide long non-coding RNA is filed under the name Theobroma cacao (cacao). RNAcentral's name for it is "long non-coding RNA (TCAC_LNC003418)". The record is from RNAcentral. Lineage: Eukaryota; Viridiplantae; Streptophyta; Magnoliopsida; Malvales; Malvaceae.
GAACAUCAAGGAAAAAGUCUCAUUUUCCCCUUAAAACAAGUCAUCCUACUAAAAUAACAAUAGCAACAUGUAACACAUAUAAACUUCCAAAUUCCAACAAAACAAAUGUUUACAUAUUUGCAUUUACAACCAUAUACCCAUCAUCAACAUGCACAUCAUCCCAUCAUCAUCAUCUCAUAUACAACGACUUAUGCUAUUGUCACUAGGGGAUGGGAGAUCACGAAGCAUCCCCCCCCCUUCACUCGGCAAGAGGUGCACUUCACUCCGGAUCACGAAGCAACGGAGCAGUCACUUCCCUCAUUUUCCAAGCUUCCCCCCCUUCACUCGGCAAGAGGUGCACUUCACUCCGGAUCACGAAGCAACGGAGCAAUCCCUUCCCUCAUCUUCCAAGCUCCUGGGCGGAGAGUCAUACUUCGCCACAGAUCAUACCUAUCAAAGCACUCAUAGGGUGGAAGAUCACGAAGCGUCCAGCCCUAUAAGCUACGGAGGCAACAACAGCUUAUGUGCACUCCCACUCACACAUAGCCGGGUCAGCAACGGCUUAUGUGCACUCUUACUCGCACAUAGCCGGGUCAGCAACGGCUUAUGUGCACUCCUACUCGCACAUAACCGGGUUCAAAUCAACAUGUAAAAAAACAUCCAAUGCAUAUCAUGCAUUUUAUCAUAUUGUGAUAACACAUAAACCAUUGUAUAACACAUUUUCACAAUAUAAAAUCAUUUUACUAAAAGCUUGUUCCCAAGGUACAUUUUCUAAGACAAGUUGGAUAGAAUCUUUCAUAUUCCCCAAACCAAGUUUGAAAUGCAAGUCCACUCACCUGUAUUAGGAGUAGAAAUACUCAUAUUUUUAGUCUGCGGUUACAGUCUUUUACCCAUAUCCAAUAGCUCACCACCUAGCCAUAAUCCAUGACACAUAUUCCAAUUAAAUUGUGUCUAACAGUCAUAAGCUAUUUCAGGCUCGAUAUAUAUAUGAUAUGAAAUGAAAAAUGCACAGGUAGCCAUCUAGAGCCGGUAGUGGCCUAAGUCGAUUUUUCAUAUGAUAAAUUGGCCAAUGCGUCCAAUUUCACUCCAAAUUAAUCCAUUUCUCCUCUAAUACCUUAAUUUACCACAUACCAUUUAAAUAAAGCCAAAUUCAGCAUUAGAACCCUCACAGUUCCUUAUAGAAAAAUUUGGUCAUUUGAUGCACUAGCACCGAAAAUUUUUCUACAUAACCGUUUCACCUUAAUUCAUCAUUUUUCAAGCCAUUUUCCUUGAAAUAAAAACAAGCCCCCAUUGAUAUUCAGCCCUCAUGGUUCGACCAACAAGGAACCCUAGAGAAAUUGAAUAUUUCUUUUGUGUUUUUGUUCAUAACCAUGCUUAACUAUCCCUAAACACUAAUAUAGUCUAAAAUCAAAUUAUUCCAACAACAAUUCCUCUUCCAUACCCAUUUUUCAGAAUUGAAUUCAUCAUGAUAACUCAAUAUUCAACAAUGAAAAUCAAGAACAAAAGCAUGGGUAAGCUAGGUAUCAAGGAGAAUUAAAGAAAUUUUAACUUACCUAGCUUGUUUCCUUGAAUUCCAACACUUUCUCUUUGAUUUUUCGCACCUAGGGCUUGUUCUUCCUUGGUUUCUC